This 328-nucleotide ribosomal RNA is filed under the name uncultured Streptococcus sp. RNAcentral's name for it is "partial 16S ribosomal RNA". It matches the Rfam family "Bacterial small subunit ribosomal RNA", at positions 450 to 776 of the family's 1533-position model. Lineage: Bacteria; Bacillati; Bacillota; Bacilli; Lactobacillales; Streptococcaceae. The record is from RNAcentral.
GAGUCUAAAGAUCUCAACAAUACACUUUCUCAGCAAAAGGAGCGCUGGUUAACUCCGCGCCCGCAGUGGGUAUUAUGUGGGGGUGCAAGCUUUUUAUCGGAUUUAUUGGGAGUAAAAGCCAAGCAGGUCGUUUAGACAGUUGGAUGUAAAAUCCCCGGGCUCAACCGGGGGAAUGCAUUAGAAACUGGCCAUCUAAAGUUUUUGAGAGGGAGGGUGAAUUCCCGGUGGAGCGGUAAAAUGCGUAGAUAUUCGGAGGAACACCAGUGGGGAAGGGGGCCCCCUGGACAAAAACUGACGUUCAGGGUGGAAAGGGGGGGGAGCAAACAGG